UACGGAGGAUGCGAGCGUUAUCCGGAUUUAUUGGGUUUAAAGGGUGCGUAGGCGGGCUUUUAAGUCAGCGGUAAAAAUUCGGGGCUCAACCUCGUCGAGCCGUUGAAACUGGGUGUCUUGAGUGGGCGAGAAGUACGCGGAAUGCGUGGUGUAGCGGUGAAAUGCAUAGAUAUCACGCAGAACUCCGAUUGCGAAGGCAGCGUACCGGCGCCCAACUGACGCUGAAGCACGAAGGCGUGGGUAUCGAACAGG
Molecule: ribosomal RNA, 252 nt
Filed under: uncultured bacterium
Lineage: Bacteria
Description: partial 16S ribosomal RNA
Rfam family: Bacterial small subunit ribosomal RNA
Source: RNAcentral